RNAcentral lists this long non-coding RNA (1176 nucleotides) under Junco hyemalis (dark-eyed junco). RNAcentral's name for it is "lncRNA (ENSJHYG00000007911.1)". Lineage: Eukaryota; Metazoa; Chordata; Aves; Passeriformes; Passerellidae. The record is from RNAcentral.
AUGGAUGGGGCUCAGCAAGGAAGGGGAGCUGGGAUGAACCCCCUGGAACGCCAGGAAAUCCCCACCGUGCCUUCUCCAGGCAGGAAUGCUCAGGCAGGUCCAUCCCCGCCCUCCCACCUCAGCUCCAGGUGCAGGAAUGCCCUCUGGAAAACAGGCAGGAGCCCAUCCCAACCCCAUCCCAGGCCUGGAGCCCAUCCCAACCCCAUCCCAGGCCCGGAGCCCAUCCCAACCCCAUCCCAGGCCUGCUCCCAGGCUGAUAAGGAACCAGCUCCGACAACAAAGAGCCAGGGGAGCUCCACCUGCAGAGCAGCUGGGCGAGGCUUUUCCCUGAGGAGCAGGGCUGGGGACCAGGACAAACACCCGGGGAGUCGCUGGGAAUUCCAUGUGGCUGGCUCGGGAAUUCCUUGCUCUGCAGGGAACAGAAAGUGUCCUGGGGAGCACCUGGAGCUGCUCCUCACCUGCCAGGACCCGGCUCCGAGUCAUUCCCGGGAUAAACCCUUCCAAAGGGUACAAACCCCUGGAAUGACAAUCCGCACAUCGGCACACGGGUUCAGUCCCCCUGGAGACAGCAGGAGCAUGAGGGCAGCAGGAAAACCCACGGAAAUCCCAAAUAUGAUCCCAAAAAACGCCGGACGGAGCCUCCGAGGAGCACCUGGGGCUCUUCCCUACCUGCUGAUCCCGUCUCUCCGCACGUCUCCCAAAUUUAGCCCGGCAAGCCGGGACAGGCCGGGGGAGCCGCUCCCGCCCCCGUCCCGCAGCCGUGACCCCGGGGGGAGCGGGGACGUUCCAGACACCCGGGAGCGCCCGGAGCCGCGCCCGGCGCUGCGGCUGCAGCCCCGUGCCAGCAACGGGCACGGCGAGAGCAGCAGGAGGAGGAGAGAUGCACAGGAGCAACACUGCAUGGGACAGGAGCUCCCAUGGAGAGCUGAACUGAGCACGGAGAUGGGAUCCAGCAGGGAGAGCCAGGAUCUCCUGCUCCAACAUCCUGCUUGUCCCCUCCAGGAUCCUGCAGAUCCCCCCAGUCCUCUCCAGGGAGUGGAAGCAUCCUGCAGGAAUUCUGGAGAUGCCCCCAGUCCCUGCUCCAUCACCAAGGUGGUCUCCCAGUGCCCUCCCCUCUGGCAAAAUCCCAACAAAUCCCAAGUGCCGUUACCAGGAAUGGGGCCCGGCACUAUUUAA